AACCACUAUGCUACAGAAACAUCUGUCUUUAGAAAGUAGCGAAACAACGGAGGAAACAUGAAUAACUUACCAUGGCCGUUAAGUUGAGCAAGUUACCGAAGUGGCUGACGGCCUUCCAUUUAUGGAUGGUAUACCAUCUGUCGGCGAGACCAAAUACGUAAACCAAAUACGUAAACCAAACGCCAAUCAGAAGUAGCAAAGCAGGCAAGGAGAUAUAAAUAUUGCACAGCAUUUGUUCUCACAUGGUGCCUUGGAAGAAAUCACCGCCAUUUAAAAAAAUUGUGUCCGGAUGCUGUUCACGAAUUUUUCGAGCUUGAUGGACCAGACGGGCAUAUCCACCGAAACAAUUGCCAUCCUCCGAGUCUCGUUGUUUGCACGCCCCACCGAGUUUGUUGGCCUCUUCGAAACGGCAAUGGAUAUCGUUAGUGUGUAGGAUAGUCAAAUUAAACGAAGCUGAUGCCUGCUUGACAACGAAAGAUACACAAAACAGACCCAACAGCCUCAACCACAUGAGUACGGUAUUACGUGUCGACCAGUCCUGCAUUUUCUGCUCAACUGUGGACAAAAUUUUGAGCGUUCAGCGUUAUAUUGCUCACCAAACUGGAAAUAGGCGUCGCCACAAGCUGUCUACUAGCUUUCGGAGAGAGGAGACUAAAUCCGAAGGACGUAACCAGCAAGAGUCAUCUCCUAUUCAAAGUGAGUGAACUUCUUUUGCCAUUUGAUAGCAAAUAAGCCGUCUGGUCCAUAUUGCAGACGAAAUCUCUCGCUGCUGAUAUCCUAUAGUUCUCGUUAGCGUGGGACUUACAUAAGCUCUUAUUAUGCAGUUUCGUCUCAUUUUAGCCUGUCAUUUUAAGAACAACUCAGUAGGUACUUGCACAGUAAAUUUGUGGCGACGACUUCUUCCUGGAAAUGAAUUUGUUUUUAAGUUUCUGUUGUAGCUUGUAACCAAUAGUAAAUUUCAAUUGGACUCUAUCGAGAAUCAAACCCUUAAUUAGCGGCACACCUAUCCCAUGCUCGACCAUUGAGCCAUGAUUCACAUUUUAUUGCUCACUAUUUCUCCAUAUGAUUUAGGCUUCCCUUCGCAGAUUCCCUUCGGGAUUCGGUUUGCUAUAAGAAGCUAGCCCAGAUGCCAAUCGUCUUGAUCCCUCUCCCUUUGAUUGCGAUUCGAGUCAACGCAUUCCAUCAUGCCAGCGAUUGCAGACGUUGUUCGACCAUUCUUUUCACAGGAUUUUAUGACUGGACUUCCUGCAAUUCCUGAUACCAUCUGUCCUAAGAGGUUGUAGACAAGAUGGCUGAAGCCGUCUUAACUGUUCCAGCAAUUUCCAAGGUCCUGUAUGACCUGACGGCGAAACCACCGGAGAAAACGGAGUGGGGAUGAUUUGAUUUACGAACGUUGCUUAGGCAAAUGAUCUCCACACUCUUUAUAGGACAAGGAUACGGAGUUUUAUCAUGACCAGACUUAGAUGGGAGAUAUUACGAACAUUGGAUUCAGUAUAGACUUUUGAAAUUAAAAAAUUUAUUAGCUUUGUCGUCUCGUGAAAAUCUCUUUAACUCGCUUUUUAAGAGGAGUUCACGUGAUGACUUGUCUAUUUCUUAAUAUACGUGCACACUUGUCGGAAA
This is a long non-coding RNA of Daphnia magna, 1620 nucleotides long. RefSeq lists it as uncharacterized. NCBI's taxonomy places the organism in Eukaryota, Metazoa, Arthropoda, Branchiopoda, Diplostraca, Daphniidae. The transcript is spliced from 7 exons. The record is from RefSeq and is a predicted model, not a curated record.